UACGUAGGGUGCGAGCGUUAAUCGGAAUUACUGGGCGUAAAGCGUGCGCAGGCGGUUAUGCAAGACAGAUGUGAAAUCCCCGGGCUCAACCUGGGAACUGCAUUUGUGACUGCAUAGCUAGAGUACGGUAGAGGGGGAUGGAAUUCCGCGUGUAGCAGUGAAAUGCGUAGAUAUGCGGAGGAACACCGAUGGCGAAGGCAAUCCCCUGGACCUGUACUGACGCUCAUGCACGAAAGCUAGGGGAGCAAACAGG
RNAcentral lists this ribosomal RNA (253 nucleotides) under uncultured bacterium. RNAcentral describes it as "partial 16S ribosomal RNA". It matches the Rfam family "Bacterial small subunit ribosomal RNA", at positions 524 to 776 of the family's 1533-position model. The record is from RNAcentral.